CCUACGGGUGGCAGCAGUCGAGAAUCAUUCACAAUGGGGGAAACCCUGAUGGUGCGACGCCGCGUGGGGGAAUGAAGGUCUUCGGAUUGUAAACCCCUGUCAUGUGGGAGCAAAUUAAAAAGAUAGUACCACAAGAGGAAGAGACGGCUAACUCUGUGCCAGCAGCCGCGGUAAUACAGAGGUCUCAAGCGUUGUUCGGAAUCACUGGGCGUAAAGCGUGCGUAGGCUGUUUCGUAAGUCGUGUGUGAAAGGCGCGGGCUCAACCCGCGGACGGCACCUGAUACUGCGAGACUAGAGUAAGGGAGGGGGAAGCGGAAUUCUCGGUGUAGCAGUGAAAUGCGUAGAUAUAGAGAGGAACACUCGUGGCGAAGGCGGGUUCCUGGACAUUAACUGACGCUGAGGCACGAAGGCCAGGGGAGCGAAAGGGAUUAGAUACCCGAGUAGUC
This 446-nucleotide ribosomal RNA is filed under the name uncultured bacterium. Its description in RNAcentral is "partial 16S ribosomal RNA". It matches the Rfam family "Bacterial small subunit ribosomal RNA", at positions 338 to 795 of the family's 1533-position model. The record is from RNAcentral.